This is a small RNA of Rhodobacter aestuarii, 52 nucleotides long. It matches the Rfam family "ffh sRNA". NCBI's taxonomy places the organism in Bacteria, Pseudomonadati, Pseudomonadota, Alphaproteobacteria, Rhodobacterales. The record is from Rfam.
AUGGGCGGGGAUCGCCACCAGUCAGCGCGUUGCGCCCACUGGUGCGUUUGAC